Molecule: ribosomal RNA, 439 nt
Filed under: uncultured bacterium
Lineage: Bacteria
Description: partial 16S ribosomal RNA
Rfam family: Bacterial small subunit ribosomal RNA
Source: RNAcentral
CUACGGGGCGCACCAGUGAGGAAUAUUGCACAAUGGGGGGAACCCUGAUGCAGCAACGCCGCGUGGAGGAUGACGCAUUUCGGUGUGUAAACUCCUUUUAUAUGUCAAGAAAAUGACGGUAGCAUAUGAAUAAGCACCGGCUAACUCCGUGCCAGCAGCCGCGGUAAUACGGAGGGUGCAAGCGUUACUCGGAAUCACUGGGCGUAAAGGACGCGUAGGCGGGUUGGAAAGUCAGGUGUGAAAUCCUACAGCUUAACUGUAGAACUGCACUUGAAACUUCUAAUCUAGAGUAUGGGAGGGGGAGAUGGAAUUAGUGGUGUAGGGGUAAAAUCCGUAGAUAUCACUAGGAAUACCUAAAGCGAAGGCGAUCUCCUGGAACAUUACUGACGCUAAGGCGUGAAAGCGUGGGGAGCAAACAGGAUUAGAUACCCUAGUAGUC